RNAcentral lists this ribosomal RNA (497 nucleotides) under uncultured bacterium. RNAcentral describes it as "partial 16S ribosomal RNA". It matches the Rfam family "Bacterial small subunit ribosomal RNA", at positions 28 to 507 of the family's 1533-position model. The record is from RNAcentral.
GAUGAACGCUGGCGGCGUGCCUAAUACAUGCAAGUCGAGCGAACGGACGAUAAGCUUGCUUCUCUGAUGUUAGCGGCGGACGGGUGAGUAACACGUGUAUAACCUACCUAUAAGACUGGGAUAACUUCGGGAAACCGGAGCUAAUACCGUAGAAUAUUUUGAACCGCAUGGUUCAAAAGUGAAAGACGGUCUUGCUGUCACGUAUAGAUGGAUCCGCGCUGCAUUAGCUAGUUGGUAAGGUAACGGCUUACCAAGGCAACGAUGCAUAGCCGACCUGAGAGGGUGAUAGCCGACACUGGAACUGAGACACGGUCCAGACUCCUACGGGAGGCAGCAGUAGGCAAUCGUCCGCAGUGGGCGAAAACAUUACGGAGCAACGCCGAGUGAGUGAUGACAGUGUCGCGAGCGUAAAAACGUGUUAUUAGGGAAGAACAUAUGUGUAAGGAAAUGUGGAGAUCUUGACGGUAACUAAUAAGAAAGCAACGGCUAACUACGUG